This 377-nucleotide unclassified non-coding RNA is filed under the name plant metagenome. RNAcentral's name for it is "partial contains 5.8S ribosomal RNA, internal transcribed spacer 2, and large subunit ribosomal RNA". The stretch from base 1 to 105 matches the Rfam family "5.8S ribosomal RNA", at positions 50 to 154 of the family's 154-position model. The record is from RNAcentral.
GAAAUGCGAUAAGUAAUGUGAAUUGCAGAAUUCAGUGAAUCAUCGAAUCUUUGAACGCAUCUUGCGCUCCUUGGUAUUCCUUGGAGCAUGCCUGUUUGAGUAUCAUGAAAUCUUCAAAGUAAAUCUUUUGUUAACUCAAUUGGUUUCUACUUGGUAUUGGAGGUCUUUGCAGCUUCACACCUGCUCCUCUUUGUUCAUUAGCUGGAUCUCAGUGUUAUGCUUGGUUCCACUCGGCGUGAUAAGUUAUCUAUCGCUGAGGACACUGUAAAAGGUGGCCAAGGUAAAUGCAGAUGAACCGCUUCUAAUAGUCCAUUGACUUGGACAAUACUUUUAUGAUCUGAUCUCAAAUCAGGUAGGACUACCCGCUGAACUUAAGC